This is a long non-coding RNA of Topomyia yanbarensis, 543 nucleotides long. RefSeq lists it as uncharacterized. Lineage: Eukaryota; Metazoa; Arthropoda; Insecta; Diptera; Culicidae. The record is from RefSeq and is a predicted model, not a curated record. The transcript has 3 exons.
AACUCACGCAUACACUGAACUACCAACCCGCAACGAAGAGAAACGUCAAACUAAAGAAUAUUCGAAGUGAUGUGUUGUGUGUUGUGUACAUUGGAAACUAUACAGGUGAAACGGACUACCAAACCAACAAAAACAAAUCCACUCAGAUGGAGGCAGGGAUGUGUCCGUUCGGCACUGGACGGUUGCGGACGGACGGAUUCGGACUCUUGAAGCGGACGAUGGAUUUUAGAAUCGAAGGAUGUCGCAUGCAGCUGGACUGGACGAGAAUAUGGACCACGGUACGGGGCCGGAACAAUUUGGCGGGACUGGCGCUGGAUGGACUGCUGCCAUGCUGACCCGGAAUUGCCUCAAACGGCCUAUUUGAAGACAGCUAUAACGGAUGCCGAGAAGGGAAGUUGACUUCCAGUUAAAGGUAAGUGUGUGAACAAAUGUUUUCUUUUUCUUUUUAGGAACAAUCGGAUGGCAAUCCCAAGAUGCGAAAUCCACCCCCAAGGAAGACUUCAAUAAGAACCUACAUUUAACAUAAACUCCCACAUUAAACAU